UACGUAGGGUGCGAGCGUUGCCCGGAUUUAUUGGGCGUAAAGAGCGUGUAGGCGGUUCGGUAGGUCCGUUGUGAAAACUCGAGGCUCAACCUCGAGACGCCGAUGGAAACCAUCGAACUAGAGUCCGGAAGAGGAGAGUGGAAUUCCUGGUGUAGCGGUGAAAUGCGCAGAUAUCAGGAAGAACACCCGUGGCUAAGGCGGCUCUCUAGUACGGUACUGACGCUGAGACGCGAAAGCGUGGGGAGCGAACAGG
RNAcentral lists this ribosomal RNA (253 nucleotides) under uncultured bacterium. RNAcentral describes it as "partial 16S ribosomal RNA". It matches the Rfam family "Bacterial small subunit ribosomal RNA", at positions 524 to 776 of the family's 1533-position model. The record is from RNAcentral.